GAAACAUUUUACAAAAUUUGGAUUUUUUUUUUGUAAUUUACCCUUAUAUGUUUGAUAAAAUUUAAUUAAGAUUUGAAAAAUAUAAAACAUUUGCCUGUACCAUGAAAAACCCCAGAUUUCCCGUAUUUUAUCGGCAUGGGAUUUGCUUAGUGUAUCACAUACAUCCCCUGUUAGGGACUCAAGUCCUCGCUAAGAUUUGCCCCACCAUCGUUUAACUUUUUAUGAAAAAUGGCUCUUAUACCAAUUGUAACAUCCCAAUUUUUUAAAAACAAAAUCCAAUAAAUAGAAUCGAUAGUACAUGACUUUUCCCAUACAAAUUCCAUAUAUUCGAUAAAUACAAACAUGAUCUAAAAUAUAUAAUUCUCAAAACAAAUUUGAUAAAUAUUACGAAAUACAAAUUUCACCGAAUACAUAAAAUCCAAAUAAACAAGUUUUCACUGCCGCUCUGACCUAUAAAAAUAACUUAGGAGUAUGCUUUGGUGGGUGAGCUUGAAGUCCAUUGAAUAAUUACAAUCUAUCACUCGCUCAAACCAUGGGAAUGACAUGGCUUAUGCUAGGAACCAAAAAUAUCAACCCUAUUUACCAAAUGAAGUCCACCUCGAUCUUCUCUAUUCUGGUAUCGGAAGAGGAAAAUCGAGAUUUCCUUGUCAAGAAUGGAAUUGGGCGAAAAGCUCCUUCCUCCUCCUUGUCGAGACUGCCUUGACGAGUUGCCCUUCGAAGUCCUCUGAUUCGUCUGCUCGGAGCUUGGAUACCCAUGUAAUUGAUAGCAUGUGGCCCAAUAAUGACCAUUAUGCCAACAGAAGUCGCAGAAAGGACGACCACGGGGCUUGCAAUUGCCCUUGUUCGAGCCGAAAUUAGGGUUAAAGCUACUACCAGUUUCAGUACAGAUCUUGGCCGUAAAACCGAUCGCCUCAGUGUUAGAAUCCCUGCCCUGGCUGAUAAGGCGUUGAGCUUCAUCAUGUGCGGCCAUGGAGUGAGCUUUAUUGACACUCGCAAGUUGAAUUCCAGCAUUGCAAGUACAAGUCGGAAGAUCAAGGCAAAUAUCGGUCUUUAAUUGAUGGAUUCUUGUUUCGUUGCCCUGAGAAAAACGCUACUUAAGGUCGUCCCAAAACGCUUUUGCGUUCCUUGCCCCUACAACAGAGUUCUGCAAGUCUUCAUCCCAGUGAUUGAAAAUCCACGAGACUAACAUUGAAUUACAUGUCACCCACUACUCAUGGAAAUAACCUGAGUACCAUGGCCAUCAAAGGGAGUGAAGACAUAGACAAGUGGUACGCCUCCACUCGAAGUAUUCUGGUCUGUGGCUUUCGACAUGAUGAUGGAUCAGAGAAAAAUGUGAGAGAAAAAAAAUGCAGGAUAGAUUAGAAGCGUGAAGGAAGAUGCUCAGCAAGAAUCGCUGGCAGAUGGAAGCUCGACUAUAUCAGCCGGCAAUGAGGUUGAUCGUGCCGAGUUUGUCGAGGUUCGAGAUUCAUGAGACACACAGGGGAGGCAUACAUUCAAGGUCGGAUUUUUCCGGACUGUAAAGCUUAUAAGCAUGAAAGGCCAUUUUAGAGGGAACAAAACUUUGGCGGUGGAGGAGAAAUAUACGGGGCUAUGGGUUGAAAGGAAGAGUGACACUUGAAAAGCUAUUUCCAAACUCAUCUUCUAUGCACAUAUAUCUAUUUAAAAAUUUCAACAAAUAGUCAUUAAGAAAAUAUGUUGGAUAUGUAUAUAUGCAAUCAUGUAUUAGCACUUAGAAAUUUGAGAUUUGCUUAAAUAUCCAGCAUCUCUUUCGUGUUUUUUUAA
Molecule: non-coding RNA, 1782 nt
Organism: Punica granatum (pomegranate)
Lineage: Eukaryota; Viridiplantae; Streptophyta; Magnoliopsida; Myrtales; Lythraceae
Source: RefSeq, a predicted model, not a curated record